RNAcentral lists this ribosomal RNA (1294 nucleotides) under Ihlea punctata. RNAcentral describes it as "SSU rRNA". It matches the Rfam family "Eukaryotic small subunit ribosomal RNA", at positions 444 to 1758 of the family's 1831-position model. Lineage: Eukaryota; Metazoa; Chordata; Thaliacea; Salpida; Salpidae. The record is from RNAcentral.
CCCAUUCCCGGCUCGGGGAGGUAGUGACGAAAAAUAACAAUACAGGCCUCGUACGAGGCCCUGUAAUUGGAAUGAGUACACUUUAAACGCUUUAACGAGUAUCCAUUGGAGGGCAAGUCUGGUGCCAGCAGCCGCGGUAAUUCCAGCUCCAAAAGUGUAUAUUUAAGUUGUUGCGGUUGAAAAGCUCGUAGUUGGAUUUUGGGAUGGCGCGUUUGGUCGGCCGCAAGGCUUGUACUGGACGCGCUGUCCUCACAUGACCGGCGCCUCUAAGGUGCUCUUAACUGAGUGUCUGUGCGGUCCGGGAAGUUUACCUUGAAAAAAUUAGAGUGUUCAAAGCAGGCUUAAAGCUUGAAUAAUGUUGCAUGGAAUAAUGGAAUAGGACCUCGGUUCUAUUUUGUUGGUUUUCGGAGCGCGAGGUAAUGAUUAAGAGGAACGGACGGGGGCAUCCGUACUGUGCCGUUAGAGGUGAAAUUCUUGGAUCGGCGCAAGACGAACAACUGCGAAAGCAUUUGCCAAGAAUGUUUUCUUUAAUCAAGAGCGAAAGUCAGAGGUUCGAAGACGAUCAGAUACCGUCCUAGUUCUGACCUUAAACGAUGCCGACUAGCGAUCGGGCAGUGUCGAACGUAAGANCUGCCCGGCAGCUUCCGGGAAACCAAAGUCUUUGGGUUCCGGGGGAAGUAUGGUUGCAAAGCUGAAACUUAAAGGAAUUGACGGAAGGGCACCACCAGGAGUGGAGCCUGCGGCUUAAUUUGACUCAACACGGGAAAUCUCACCCGGCCCGGACACAGCGAGGAUUGACAGAUUGAGAGCUCUUUCUUGAUUCUGUGGGUGGUGGUGCAUGGCCGUUCUUAGUUGGUGGAGCGAUUUGUCUGGUUAAUUCCGAUAACGAACGAGACUCUUACUUGCUAAAUAGCUACUCUACCCAUGUGGUAGGAGAUAACUUCUUAGAGGGACUAGUGGCGUUUAGCCACACGAGAUUGAGCAAUAACAGGUCUGUGAUGCCCUUAGAUGUUCGGGGCCGCACGCGCGCUACACUGACCGGAUCAUCGUGUGCUUCCCUUGGCCGAAAGGCCCGGGUAAUCCGUUGAACCCCGGUCGUGCUAGGGAUAGGGAAUUGCAAUUGUUUCCCUUGAACGAGGAAUUCCCAGUAAGCGCGAGUCAUUAGCUUGCGUUGAUUACGUCCCUGCCCUUUGUACACACCGCCCGUCGCUACUACCGAUUGAAUGGUUUAGUGAGGUCCUCCGAUUGAGCCCGGUGCGCUCGGAAACGUGCAUGCUGGUGCCCGAGAAGACGA